Molecule: ribosomal RNA, 915 nt
Filed under: uncultured archaeon
Lineage: Archaea
Description: bacterial SSU rRNA
Rfam family: Archaeal small subunit ribosomal RNA
Source: RNAcentral
UUCCGGUUGAUCCUGCCGGACCUGACUGCUAUCGGAUUGAUACUAAGCCAUGCGAGUCUUUGUAGUAAUACAAGGCAGACGGCUCAGUAACACGUAGUCAACCUACCCUAUGGACGAGAAUAAUCUCGGGAAACUGAGCAUAAUUCUCGAUAGAUCAUAAUGCCUGGAAUGGUUUAUGGUUAAAAUGAUUCGUCGCCAUAGGAUGGGACUGCGGCCUAUCAGCUUGUUGGUGAGGUAAUGGCCCACCAAGGCGAUUACAGGUACGGGCUCUGAGAGGAGAAGCCCGGAGAUGGGUACUGAGACACGGACCCAGGCCCUAUGGGGCGCAGCAGGCGAGAAAACUUUGCAAUGUGCGAAAGCACGACAAGGUUAAUCCGAGUGAUUUCUGCUAAAGAAAUCUUUUGCCAGUCAUAAAACCACUGGUGAAUAAGGGGUGGGCAAGUUCUGGUGUCAGCCGCCGCGGUAAAACCAGCACCUCAAGUGGUCAGGAUGAUUAUUGGGCCUAAAGCAUCCGUAGCCGGCUUUGUUAGUUUUCGGUUAAAUCCAUGUGCUCAACGCAUGGGCUGCCGAAAAUACUGCAUGGCUAGGGAGUGGGAGAGGUAGACGGUACUCAGUAGGAAGGGGUAAAAUCCUUUGAUCUAUUGAUGACCACCUGUGGCGAAGGCGGUCUACCAGAACACGUUCGACGGUGAGGGAUGAAAGCUGGGGGAGCAAACCGGAUUAGAUACCCGGGUAGUCCCAGCUGUAAACGAUGCAGACUCGAUGAUGCAUUGGCAUAAUAGCCAUUGCAGUGUCGCAGGGAAGCCGUUAAGUCUGCCGCCUGGGAAGUACGUACGCAAGUAUGAAACUUAAAGGAAUUGGCGGGGGAGCACCACAAGGGGUGAAGCCUGCGGUUCAAUUGGAAUCAACGCCGGA